CGUCUUUCCCCGCAGUAUUGGACAGUUUUAUAUUCUCUAAUACUGUUUGGUAAAGAUGCC
This 60-nucleotide microRNA precursor is filed under the name Fasciola hepatica (liver fluke). RNAcentral describes it as "microRNA fhe-mir-8 precursor". Its record names the gene fhe-mir-8. It matches the Rfam family "mir-8/mir-141/mir-200 microRNA precursor family", at positions 10 to 68 of the family's 72-position model. From Rfam's summary of the family: The bounds of the precursors are predicted based on conservation and base pairing and are not generally known. Lineage: Eukaryota; Metazoa; Platyhelminthes; Trematoda; Plagiorchiida; Fasciolidae. The record is from miRBase by way of RNAcentral.